This 275-nucleotide ribosomal RNA is filed under the name uncultured bacterium. RNAcentral describes it as "partial 16S ribosomal RNA". It matches the Rfam family "Bacterial small subunit ribosomal RNA", at positions 338 to 630 of the family's 1533-position model. The record is from RNAcentral.
CCUACGGGUGGCUGCAGUGGGGAAUAUUGGACAAUGGGCGAAAGCCUGAUCCAGCAAUGCCGCGUGAGUGAUGAAGGCCUUAGGGUUGUAAAGCUCUUUUACCCGGGAUGAUAAUGACAGUACCGGGAGAAUAAGCUCCGGCUAACUCCGUGCCAGCAGCCGCGGUAAUACGGAGGGAGCUAGCGUUGUUCGGAAUUACUGGGCGUAAAGCGCACGUAGGCGGCUUUGUAAGUUAGAGGUGAAAGCCCGGAGCUCAACUCCGGAACUGCCUUUAA